UUGAAUGAUGAAUAAGCACUGGGCGCUGAGCAUAUUAUUUGAUGCAUACCUAGAAAGCUAUUUCUGACAU
Molecule: small nucleolar RNA, 70 nt
Organism: Vicia villosa (hairy vetch)
Lineage: Eukaryota; Viridiplantae; Streptophyta; Magnoliopsida; Fabales; Fabaceae
Source: RefSeq, a predicted model, not a curated record